GACGAACGCGUGGCGGCGUGCUUAACACAUGCAAGUCGAACGGAAAGACCCUUGCUUGCAGGGGUACUCGAGUGGCGAACGGGUGAGUAACACGUGGGUGAUCUGCCUUGUACUUCGGGAUAAGCCUGGGAAACUGGGUCUAAUACCGGAUAGGACCAUGCUUUAGUGUGGUGGUUGGAAAGUUUUUUCGGUGUAGGAUGAGCUCGCGGCCUAUCAGCUUGUUGGUGGGGUAAUGGCCUACCAAGGCGGCGACGGGUAGCCGGCCUGAGAGGGUGUACGGCCACAUUGGGACUGAGAUACGGCCCAG
RNAcentral lists this ribosomal RNA (307 nucleotides) under uncultured bacterium. RNAcentral's name for it is "bacterial SSU rRNA". It matches the Rfam family "Bacterial small subunit ribosomal RNA", at positions 28 to 334 of the family's 1533-position model. The record is from RNAcentral.